ACCUAGUUGAUCGGUGCUUUUAUCUUAUAUCUGUUGACCUGGUUGGUCGGUUGUUGCAUUAUGUAUUGGGUUGGUCUGUUUCUUGACUUCUGUCGUUCGAUGACCCUUGAGGUCGGUAUACCCUAAGGGGUGGGAUUGUCGGUUAGCACCGACGGAUGAUUAUAGUUUACUCAGCUCCACUGUUUGGUAUGUUUGUGACCUAGUCAGUCAGCUUCAUGAGUCCCGUCGUCGAUAACCUUUGAGGUCGGUAUACCCUGAGGGGUAGGAUUGUCGGCUGGUGCUGACGGUAGUUCUGGACUAUAUCGAAUACACUCCUGUGACCUAUCGGUCGGUUCUUGCGUUCGUACUUUUAGUUGACAUCGAGCAGUAUUUACAUACUAUCUUUAUUUACUCUGCCUAGUUGUUCUAUGUGUAGUAUCCUGUAUAGGGGUAGAGUAGAUGGCAUUCGUAUAUACUAUACUUGUGACCUGGUUGGUCGGUUCUCCUGUUUGCAUCGGUGACCUGUUUGGUCGUUCGUUACUUUCCGUAUAUUGACCUAUCUUGGUCGGUUCACGUUGUUACUUGAUGACCUACACGGUCGGUUAGCCCCGAGGGGCGGUGAUUGUCGGCUGAUUGCCGACGGUUGGCUAUUGAUCAUAUCUGCAUUGAUCGCCACAGCUCGAGUGCAUUUCACGUACACCAGCGGGUUGAUCCCCCGCAGGAGGGUGUUCUUUUCCGGAAAAGUGGUCGUACAUCCGACCCGUGAGCCCAGCGGUGUUCUCUUUGUGCUAGGGUUACUGCCAGGUGUGAGCAGGUAGUGGCUUUUGCCUGAGGUCCUUAGACCGACACGGCGGUUUAGAUUUGGUACUUUUGGACUUCUCGUCCGGUUGACGCAUAUAGCCAUAGUAGCGGUUGUUGCAUAUAUACUUCUAGUUCUUUCUUUACAAUUGUCUUGCUACUAUAGUUUUAAUAACCUUGUAUGCUUGCAGUUGUACAUUACAGUAGCGGUAGUUGUACUUUCUUUCAUAUAUAUGUCUCUUUCAUUCAUUAUUAUUGCUACUGUAUUUUCUACUGACCCGUACUGUUGUUUAGCUCUUCCUGAUCCGGUAAGUACUCCUCGCCUUCUUCGGCUUGCGGUACCCACUGGGAGGGGAGACAUGUUUACAUGUUCUCACCUCCCCCACCAUUUUUCAGGUAUCGCGGGCGAUGAGUAGUGGGACGAGACGUGAGGUACGCAUGUAGCGGUCGAUAGAGCUUUCGACCCAGGUUAAUUCGGUUUACUUUCUUACCCUUCUUAUUUUGGCUGAUGAAUAGUUUAGUUGGUUUAUGUGGUUCAGUGUUUAUUUACAUUUGAAAAUGUGGAUUUCUGGAUUUUGUAAA
This 1359-nucleotide long non-coding RNA is filed under the name Ananas comosus (pineapple). RNAcentral describes it as "long non-coding RNA (ACOM_LNC018158)". The record is from RNAcentral. Lineage: Eukaryota; Viridiplantae; Streptophyta; Magnoliopsida; Poales; Bromeliaceae.